RNAcentral lists this ribosomal RNA (450 nucleotides) under uncultured bacterium. RNAcentral describes it as "bacterial SSU rRNA". It matches the Rfam family "Bacterial small subunit ribosomal RNA", at positions 10 to 508 of the family's 1533-position model. The record is from RNAcentral.
GGUUUGAUUAUGGCUCAGAACGAACGCUGGCGGCAGGCUUAACACAUGCAAGUCGAACGCCCCGCAAGGGGAGUGGCAGACGGGUGAGUAACGCGUGGGAAUCUACCUAGUUCUACGGAACAACAGUUGGAAACGACUGCUAAUACCGUAUACGCCCUACGGGGGAAAGAUUUAUCGGAAUUAGAUGAGCCCGCGUAAGAUUAGCUAGUUGGUGGGGUAAUGGCCUACCAAGGCGACGAUCUUUAGCUGGUCUGAGAGGAUGAUCAGCCACACUGGGACUGAGACACGGCCCAGACUCCUACGGGAGGCAGCAGUGGGGAAUAUUGGACAAUGGGCGCAAGCCUGAUCCAGCCAUGCCGCGUGAGUGAUGAAGGCCUUAGGGUUGUAAAGCUCUUUCAGUAGGGAAGAUAAUGACGGUACCUACAGAAGAAGCCCCGGCUAACUUCGUGC